AGCGGUAUGGUGUAAUGAUGCACACAGGGAUUCAUUGCUCAUUAAUGUGAUAAUAGCGUAAUCCUGAGGUCCUUGUUCGAGUCAAGGUGCUGCUU
This is a non-coding RNA of Mycena leptocephala, 95 nucleotides long. Lineage: Eukaryota; Fungi; Basidiomycota; Agaricomycetes; Agaricales; Mycenaceae. The record is from the annotation of a GenBank genome assembly.